RNAcentral lists this ribosomal RNA (431 nucleotides) under uncultured bacterium. Its description in RNAcentral is "bacterial SSU rRNA". It matches the Rfam family "Bacterial small subunit ribosomal RNA", at positions 354 to 776 of the family's 1533-position model. The record is from RNAcentral.
GUGGGGAAUAUUGCGCAAUGGGGGAAACCCUGACGCAGCAACGCCGCGUGAGUGAUGAAGGUCUUCGGAUCGUAAAGCUCUGUCGGCAGGAACGAGGGGUAGGCUGGCUAACAUCCAGCUUACUUGACGGUACCUGCAAAGGAAGCACCGGCUAACUCUGUGCCAGCAGCCGCGGUAAUACAGAGGGUGCAAGCGUUGUUCGGAAUCAUUGGGCGUAAAGGGCGCGUAGGCGGUCUGUCAAGUCGAAUGUGAAAGCCCGGGGCUCAACCUCGGAAGUGCAUCCGAAACUGGCAGACUUGAAUCUCGGAGAGGGUGGUGGAAUUCCCAGUGUAGAGGUGAAAUUCGUAGAUAUUGGGAGGAACACCGGUGGCGAAGGCGACCGCCUGGACGAAGAUUGACGCUGAGGCGCGAAAGCGUGGGUAGCAAACAGG